CUGUUCAGAUAGCCAUGCACGUCUAAGUACAAACUAAAAGAUGGUGAAACAGCAAAUAGGCUCAUUACAACGGUUAUGAUGUACCCGGGAGUUCCGAUGGAUAUUUCCAGUAACACUAGAACUAAUACAUGUCCCUGCGUUUAUUAGUUUCGCACAGUCCGUCGCUGAGUCAUGGUAAACAGUUGAUCGACUCGACGUCCCGGAACAGUUUCCGCCCCAUCAGCUUCGAUGGUUGGGUAUUGGCCUACCAUUGCAACAACGGGUAACGAGGAAUUAGGGUUUGAUUUCGGAGAGGGAGCCUGAGAAACGGCUACCACAUCUACGGAUGGCAGCAGGCGCGCAAAUUACCCAAUGCAGACACUGUGAGGUAGUGACGAGAAAUAAUAAAGCGGGACUUCUGUUUCGCUAUUAUAAUGAGGAAUAACCAAAGGUCAUUCCGAUUAGCAACUGAUGGGAAAGUCUGGUGCCAGCAGCCGCGGUAAUACCAGCGUCAGUAGCAU
RNAcentral lists this ribosomal RNA (500 nucleotides) under uncultured Myrionecta. RNAcentral's name for it is "SSU rRNA". It matches the Rfam family "Eukaryotic small subunit ribosomal RNA", at positions 35 to 600 of the family's 1831-position model. Lineage: Eukaryota; Ciliophora; Litostomatea; Cyclotrichida; Mesodiniidae. The record is from RNAcentral.